UGAAAUAGCUCAAUAGGUAGAGCAACUGAAUCGUAAUCAGUAGGUUGGGGGUUCGAUUCCUCUUUUCAGC
Molecule: transfer RNA, 70 nt
Filed under: human gut metagenome
Also listed under: 1 other name
Rfam family: tRNA
About the family: Transfer RNA (tRNA) molecules are approximately 80 nucleotides in length. Their secondary structure includes four short double-helical elements and three loops (D, anti-codon, and T loops).
Source: RNAcentral